This 506-nucleotide ribosomal RNA is filed under the name uncultured bacterium. RNAcentral's name for it is "partial 16S ribosomal RNA". It matches the Rfam family "Bacterial small subunit ribosomal RNA", at positions 29 to 523 of the family's 1533-position model. The record is from RNAcentral.
AGUGAACGCUGGCGGUAGGCCUAACACAUGCAAGUCGAACGGCAGCACAGAGGAGCUUGCUCCUUGGGUGGCGAGUGGCGGACGGGUGAGGAAUACAUCGGAAUCUACUCUGUCGUGGGGGAUAACGUAGGGAAACUUACGCUAAUACCGCAUACGACCUACGGGUAAAAGCAGGGGAUCUUCGGACCUUGCGCGAUUGAAUGAGCCGAUGUCAGAUUAGCUAGUUGGCGGGGUAAAGGCCCACCAAGGCGACGAUCCGUAGCUGGUCUGAGAGGAUGAUCAGCCACACUGGAACUGAGACACGGUCCAGACUCCUACGGGAGGCAGCAGUGGGGAAUAUUGGACAAUGGGCGCAAGCCUGAUCCAGCCAUACCGCGUGGGUGAAGAAGGCCUUCGGGUUGUAAAGCCCUUUUGUUGGGAAAGAAAUCCAUCUGGUUAAUACCCGGGUGGGAUGACGGUACCCAAAGAAUAAGCACCGGCUAACUUCGUGCCAGCAGCCGCCGUAA